GUGCCAGCAGCCGCGGUAAUACGUAGGGUGCGAGCGUUAAUCGGAAUUACUGGGCGUAAAGCGUGCGCAGGCGGUUCGUUAAGUUUGUGGUGAAAGCCCCGGGCUCAACCUGGGAAUGGCCAUGGAAACUGGCGGGCUGGAGUGUGGCAGAGGGGGGUGGAAUUCCACGUGUAGCAGUGAAAUGCGUAGAGAUGUGGAGGAACACCGAUGGCGAAGGCAGCCCCCUGGGCCAACACUGACGCUCAGGCACGAAAGCGUGGGGAGCAAACAGGAUUAGAAACCCCGGUAGUCC
Molecule: ribosomal RNA, 292 nt
Filed under: uncultured bacterium
Lineage: Bacteria
Description: partial 16S ribosomal RNA
Rfam family: Bacterial small subunit ribosomal RNA
Source: RNAcentral